RNAcentral lists this long non-coding RNA (3889 nucleotides) under Marmota monax (woodchuck). Lineage: Eukaryota; Metazoa; Chordata; Mammalia; Rodentia; Sciuridae. The record is from RNAcentral.
CUUUAGGGAAAGCAGGCCCUGGAACAAGGGAGAUUAAAAAAAGAGCAGAUAAACACAAUUCUGGCCAAUAAGAGAAGAAAUCUGCUGGGGGAUUAUGAGAAAGCUGUCUUUGUUCUUUGAAAACAGACUCACAAAAAUUCUGCAUCCAGUGAUGGCUGAGUAGCUCCCAUUGGGCCAAAACCUCCCACAUGACAAAAUUAUAAAACGCAAUUAUGAAAACACUUGAGAAAGAUCCAAACAGCAUGGAUACUGGGGAGCAGUCAAAGCUUGGAGGAAGGGAAUAGCACUGGAUGUUUGUUUUUAUUUUCUUGGAGCUUUUUGCCUAAGGAAAGCCACCAGCAAAGGUUACGUGAAUGUUUAAGCCCACAGUAGUCCUGGCAUGAAAAACCAGAGGACAGAAUUCUGGUGACCACAAAGCUGGACAGUGAGACAGGAAACCCUGCAAAGAUGAAGCCAUAAACAGGUAACUCCAGAUUCUGUGUCUAGACCCUGUACAUCACUGAACCCCACCUGUGUGGUAUAGACUCCAAGCAGCACAGCCAAGUCUAGAAGAUCUAAAUUAAGAUUUCAGCUCCUAUCCAACAGAGGGGAGACAGCAUUUCCAGUCUGAGAAUUCAGCCAAGUUAACAAACACAAAAAGCAGUAUAUUCAUUGGGAAAAUGAAAGGAAUCCAGAGUCCCUGCACUAUAAAGACACAAUGCUCAGGAUACCAUCCAGAGGUAGUUGACAUGAAAAGAAACAGGAAAAUGGGACCCAUAGAAAGAGAAGCAGAAGUCAACGGAAACCAAGUUCAAGAUGGUCCAGAUGUAAGAAUUAAAGACAAAGACUUUAAAGCAACCAUUAUAACCAUGUUCAAGAACAUAAAUGAAAGUAUGUUCAUAAUGAAUGAAAAGAUAGGAAAUCCAAGGGGAGAAUCAGCAACUAUAAAAAGAUCACAAUGGAAAUUCUGGAACUAAGAAUGUGACAAUUGAAAAAAAGAGACCAAUAAGAAAAAAUAGCCCUUUUUUUCUUUGCCUUUACCACCAUCAGGAUGUGGUGCUUGUUUCGCCACAGUUAUGAGGACAGCUGGCCUAACGAGGCCCAGGCACUAUGCCAUACAUGGCACAGCAAGACAAUGAACAGGACCUGGGUCCUUAAUGAUGUCAUCAAGCCACUAGAUUAACUGCCCGAGGGACUUCUCUGCUACCAGAUUUCUUGUAUUGGGAGAAAAAGAAAAUGUCUUUAUUUAAGCUAUUUCUGUUUGGGUUCUAUGUUACUUAUAUGAGAAAGAAAGCAUCAUAACCCUUGCCCCAAAGUUCACUAAAUGUAUGUCACCACAUCUUCUCUAAGUAAUAUCUAUCGACACACCCAGCAUGCUUAGUUCUGGUGUAGACCCUCGUUUCUGUCUUCUAAAUCUGCAUCAUUCAAGUUUAUCACCUGUAGAACAGCAAAGGCUACAGUCUAUUUUGACCAAAUUGGUGACUUGAAGUCUGCUGGGAAUGCAUUACCAGAAAGUUCAGGUUUGCAAAUUGCCGUUACUCAAAGUGUGAUGUGGGCAGCGUCAGCGUCUCAGCCCAUCCCAGCCUAUUGAAUCAGGGUCUGCACUUCAACAAGAGCCCAGGUGAGUCACGCGCACACUGGAGCUUGAGAAGACUCCUGAGAACUACAAGUGACAAUACAGGUGUUAGCUGUAUGUCACUAAUUAACAAAAAACUUCUUAAUCUGUUCUCAGAGACCUUCACAGAAUCAUUUCAUUUGGUUUUCACAGCAAUACUGAGAGAUUUUUAAAAAUCCAUUUAUAGACAAGGAAAUGAGAUUCAGAGAAGUAAAAUGACAUUUACAUGAUUAUGGAAAGACAGUGCUCUUCUUUGUUCUGAUACUGUGUCGUGGUUUUCAGUGAUUCAGACCUUUGGUGUCCAAACUGGGAGGUAAGUUCUUAGCACCCCACUGACCAUCUUUUUGUAUUCUCUGUUAGGAUUGUGCCUUUUUGUCCCUGAGGAGCACAUGAGCAGCCCCUUCUGUCUGCUUACCAAGGGCCUCAGCCCCUGUGACGGGCCAAGUUCACGGCUAUACCUAAUGAUAUACCUAAUGAUACAGCUAGUGACACAGUAAGUAGCCAUAUUUUAAAUGUUUGUGCUCAAAGUAUAUUUGGUAUUGAAUGCCUUUCCACUCAAUAGAUGAAAAAUGUUGAAACAAAGUUAAAAGUGAAAAUUGCAAGACAAGAUUAUCUGUGACGUACCAGCUAUAAAAAUUGGCCUCAGCUACAUUAGGAAGGGUGAACCUGGACUAGUAUGAUCUUUUCCAUCCAUCCAGAGAGCCCAGCCAUUCUUCAAUUCCAGCCUCCCCCCACCCGGCCUCCUUGACUCCACUGGGCCUCUUGAUUCCACCCUCCUUUCCCUUCUCCCAGCUCCUACUGCACACUCUGGUCCUUGGACAGAGCUGAAUUUCUUUUAAGCACCUGUCCCUUCCACAGGGCCCCCCACAUACGUGCAUCGGUGUCUGGGUUUUUAGGAAUCUUUGUUCUGCGCUCCACAAUGCCCAGCCCCUGUUCCAAAUCACUCACCAGGCCCUUUGGUUCUGUUUCCCAGCUUUCCUCAGCUCUCCCGAACUCCCUGUCCCUUCAGGGCCUCUGUCCAGGGCCUCCUUGUCUCCCUCAGGGACCACUGCACCAUUGCAGCUAUCAGUGCUGUAUCUUUUACUUGCAGCCUUAAGUAAAAGAAAACUCAACAUGGAGUGGCUUGUGCUGUGAGGAAAGUCUACACUUUCUAUUUAGGAAGCAUCCUGUCUAGAAAGCCCUUGGGAAGACUUUCCCUCAGGGUUUGCCAGUUGGGAGGGGCUCACAUGUCCAUGCCUUAGCUGCAGCGGAGGCUGGGACAGCCACCAUAGCGGGACACAGACUCUUCCAGAAGAAGGGAGAGAGGUCAAGGGGCAGCUUCUACUGUGGAUCCAACUCUAUCUGCCUCAAACAUCCCUGCCUUGGCACCGACCCCCCCCCCGUGCCAGCCUUUUCAUACAUUCCUGACACUGCCACUAUUCAUUCAUUUAAUUAAUCACUCACUCAUUACAUUAGGUUCAGCUAGGUUAUAUUGCAGGAACAAUUAAUCUUCUGCAACCAAAGAGUUUCACAAUGAUGUGUUUUUAUGGCCAGGGCAUCAACUGAACUUUCUGUGCCAUGGCAGCAGCAGAAAGAGAGAGUAGAGAUCUACAGUAACUCUUUAAUGCCCCCACCUGAAAUUGACAUGUAUCAGUUCUGCUCACAUCAUACCGGCUAAAGCAAGUCACACGGCCACACUGAACUUUAAAAAGGACAUAGGCACACAAUCAUCUUUUGCAUAGGGCGGGCAGCUUCACCAAGCAUUGGUUGAGCAUCUACUGUAAGCAAGGCUGAUGCUGGAGAAGUGCUAAAAGUCUUUCCAGUCUAGAAGUCUGCCAUCUGCCUUGUGCCCUUGUGCUAACAUGAAGCCUUCCAAUGGACCACCUCCUACAUUUUUGUUGCAAUAAAACAACAAGGAUCUGAAUAGACGACAAAACCUGAAAGAUGUCUCAUCCCUUCUCGCAAGCCUAAUGCUUAGAAUAGUGCUUUGCACUAGUGGAAACUUAAUGUUUGUUUGUUUGUUUGUUUGAGUGGUGCAUGAGAUAGGGUGAACUCACCUACCAGGAACAAGAAGCUGACCCUGAUUUAAACAAAUAUGGUUUGUAUUUUCACAGAGUGAGAAAUCCAGCAGCCACUGCAGCUGGGCUUGUCUGUUCAGCAAAUUCACCCAGGACCCAGACUCUUUCUAGCCUUAGGAGAUCCUCAGCUUUGGAGUUUUUCUCCUUGUGAUUGUGCCUCGUGGUCAUAAGACUGCUGCCACAGCUCUAAAUAGCAUAUUCACACUUAAGGUAAGAAGCAGUAGAAGAGGCUGCAAGG